CUCGGGCCAGCUCGAGACGGCCACAUUACUCAGAUGGUGUAGCCUUCUACACACCUUGGAUAUAUGGUAUAGCCUAUUCCUGCUAGGCUACAAACUCGUGCAGCAUGUUAUGGUACUGAAUACUGCAGGCAAUUGUAGCACACUGGCCUGGUUGAAGAUGGCUGAGCGUAAAACAGAAUGCAAGUCAGCUGGAGCACGUACUACUGGAGGCAGAGCCCCAUGAGAAGGGGCCAAGAACCCGCACCCAUCAAAAUCAAGAAGAAAGGCUGAACCCGGAGAGAAAAGGGAGCAACUGAUGUUGCCAUGCAGAUCCCUUGGUUGCUAUGAGAUGGUAACAUCACUCUGCCCCACCAUUGGCCAGUGCCUCCUCAGCUGCGGUGCCUCCCAGGCUGUGUGGUUCUCACGCGGGCCACUGACACAGAGCUGUUACUAUGGUGAACUUUACAAUUUCCUUUGAUUGGUGGAUUUCAGAAAUAGGCCAUCAGCGGAAUUCAUUAUAUUCAGCUAAGUAAAAAUGAAAAAUAAAUACUAUAACUUUCCCCUCAUCACUAACAUGAAGGAAACGUGACCCUUCAUGACAUAAUAAAUCGCUGUUCGGUAACUUAGGAUCCUUCAGGGGACUGAAGCGGGAUGAUCCUCCUAUGCCAAAUUUGGGUGGGAAAGAUAUUCCCUGUAGCUUUGAGUCGACUCUUCAGAGUUAAGGGCAGUGGGCCAACCAGAGUUGGAACUUCAGAGUUGGGAGGAGGUGUGGGAUGGGGCAUGCAUUGAAAUGUAAACUCUAUUGUCUCUGAAGUGAUGGGUGAUGCUGGGGGCCUGAGUGUGGAGGGCAGUUUUACAUCUCAGGACAAUGUUUUCUCAGAUGCUCUUCCAGAAAGAAAAGCCAGGAGUACUCCUGGCUGGAGGCGGCAUGCCUGAGGUCAGAGUCAAAGUAGGGUUUGUGCUGUCUGAAUCCUUUCUCCCACUCUCCCCAGCCUGGCUCAGCUUCUCAGCUUCUCAGGUGGAUUGGUGAGUCCUGGCCAAUUACGCUUCAGCUCAUCUCUACUCUCAGCAAAUAGGAAAAGGGAGUGAAGGACUGAGUUUUAACUCUUCUAAUUUCGUAACCUGACUCUCUAUAAGAAAAAGUAGGAGAAAGACUGAAGAACCCGAGAGAACAGGCCUCUGAGCCCAAGCCAAGCCAUCGCAUCCCCUGUGACUUGCCCGUAUAUAUGCCCAGAUGGCCUGAAGUAACUGAAGAAUCACAAAAGAAGUGAAUAUGCCUUGCCCCACCUUGACUGAUGACAUUCCACCACAAAAGAAGUGUAAAUGGCCGGUCCUUGCCUUAACUGAUGACAUUACCUUGUGAAAGUCCUUUUCCUGGCUCAUCCUGGCUCAAAAAGCACCCCCACUGAGCAUCUUGCGACUCCCACUCCUGCCCACUGAGCACCUUGUGACCCCCACUCCUGCCUGCCAGAGAACAAACCCCCUUUGACUGUAAUUUUCCUUUACCUACCCAAAUCCUAUAAAACGGCUCCACCCUUAUCUCCUUUUGCUGACUCUCUUUUCUGACUCAGCCCGCCUGCACCCAGGAGAUUAAAAGCUUUAUUGCUCA
This is a long non-coding RNA of Homo sapiens (human), 1588 nucleotides long. The record is from Ensembl. Lineage: Eukaryota; Metazoa; Chordata; Mammalia; Primates; Hominidae.